Molecule: ribosomal RNA, 162 nt
Filed under: Kushneria indalinina DSM 14324
Lineage: Bacteria; Pseudomonadati; Pseudomonadota; Gammaproteobacteria; Oceanospirillales; Halomonadaceae
Source: RNAcentral
CCUGACGACCAUAGCGUGCCGGCACCACCCGAUCCCUUCCCGAACUCGGUAGUGAAACGGCUCCGCGCCGAUGGUAGUGUGGGGUCUCCCCAUGUGAGAGUAGGUCAUCGUCAGGCACCCCUUCCGAACCCCGGUCCUUAACAGGACCGGGGUUCUUUUAUG